CUUGCUCCUUUGGCGUCGAGCGGCGGACGGGUGAGUAAUGCUUGGGAAUGUGCCUUAUGGUGGGGGACAACAGUUGGAAACGACUGCUAAUACCGCAUAAUGUCUUCGGACCAAAGUGGGGGACCUUCGGGCCUCACGCCAUAAGAUCAGCCCAAGUGGGAUUAGCUAGUUGGUAAGGUAAUGGCUUACCAAGGCGACGAUCCCUAGCUGGUUUGAGAGGAUGAUCAGCCACACUGGGACUGAGACACGGCCCAGACUCCUACGGGAGGCAGCAGUGGGGAAUAUUGCACAAUGGGCGCAAGCCUGAUGCAGCCAUGCCGCGUGUGUGAAGAAGGCCUUCGGGUUGUAAAGCACUUUCAGUAAGGAGGAAAGGUUAAGUGUUAAUAGCACUUAGCUGUGACGUUACUUACAGAAGAAGCACCGGCUAACUCCGUGCCAGCAGCCGCGGUAAUACGGAGGGUGCGAGCGUUAAUCGGAAUUACUGGGCGUAAAGCGUACGCAGGCGGUUUGUUAAGCGAGAUGUGAAAGCCCCGGGCUCAACCUGGGAACUGCAUUUCGAACUGGCAAACUAGAGUGUGAUAGAGGGUGGUAGAAUUUCAGGUGUAGCGGUGAAAUGCGUAGAGAUCUGAGGAGUACCGAUGGCGAAGGCAGCCACCUGGGUCAACACUGACGCUCAUGUACGAAGCGUGGGGAGCAACAGGGAUUAGAUACCCUGGUAGUCCACGCCGUAAACGAUGUCUAC
RNAcentral lists this ribosomal RNA (742 nucleotides) under Pseudoalteromonas arabiensis. Its description in RNAcentral is "bacterial SSU rRNA". It matches the Rfam family "Bacterial small subunit ribosomal RNA", at positions 79 to 816 of the family's 1533-position model. The record is from RNAcentral. Lineage: Bacteria; Pseudomonadati; Pseudomonadota; Gammaproteobacteria; Alteromonadales; Pseudoalteromonadaceae.